CCUGCUUCUCGCCUGAGGAACUGGCGUUCCUUCAGCCUUCCCUCGGGUCCUCUUAAACUUUCCUGUUUCAGGAGUGUGAAUGACACUCCCCCCCCCCCCCCCGGUUUUAAGUGGCGACGGCUCUGCCUCUGUUUUAUCGCCCCGGGUCCUGUCCGCGGUGAUUGGGGGAGGCGUGUCAGCUCGCCAUCUUGGAUCAGGGGCGACAGUACCGGUUUCGCGCGGACCUAAGGCGCGUCCCGAGGUGAUGACAGUGGGGGACGGAGUCGCACGUCCUUGGACAAGACUUUCCAACCGUCUCCUCCGCGCCCCCCUCCCCCGCGCGGCCCCAGCACCCGGUCCAAAAAUAGCUUCCGCCGACCCCCAGGCCAUCCUAAGCCAGAGUGCGUAGGAUGAGUGGCUCCCUCUGGGGCAUCCGGGGGUCCCCAGCUGUCCCCAUCCUGCCCUCCCGUGCUCCGGGCUGCGCGCGGCAGGAGCGGGCGCCGCAGGGCGCGGAGUGGGAGCGCGCGGCCGGGGCCGUGCCCGGGGCGGGCCGGGAGCAGGGUGGCCGCGGGGGUGAGGAGCCGCCCGGGCCCGGCCGGCCUGACACCACCUGGCGGAGUCUCGGGGAAGAGUCUUAAAGGCGCGCGCUCCUCCGCGCCCCUCGCACUCCAGCGGGAGCCGCCGAGAGCUCGCCUCCCUCUCCCGCCCGGCGCCUCGGGAGGAGAGGUGACUGCCGCUCCCGGAGGCGAAACGACUUGCCCACUGACUCAGUCAGCCCAGGCUGCUGUAACAGAACACCACCGGCCGGGAAGGCUUGAGCAAUAGACAUCUACUUCUCACAAGCUGGAGGCUGGGAAGCCCAAGACCAAGGUGCCGGCCAGUUUGGUUCCUGGUGAAGGCUCUCUUCCUGGUCUGUAGAUGACUGCCUUCGCGCUGCGUCCUCACACGGCCAGGAGAGAGAUCGUGUCUCUCAUAAGGACACCGCCUUCAUGACCUGAUUAUCCCCUAAAGGCUCUACCUCCAGAUACCAUCACACUGGGGAUUAGGGCUUCAACACAUGACUUCGGGAGGGACAUAAUUGCGUAGUCCAAGCACCUACUGUCACAGGGGUGUAGAGCUGAAGGUGUGACUGGAGCACGAUCCUAGUGACCUUCUCGGGCCUGCCCUGCCCUGCUGACCCCUCAAGGAGCUCCUCGCAAGCAGCAGCGGGAAGCUGGGUGCCCGCACAGACCCCACAAACCACACACGCAGCCAGAGGCUAGGAGGUCGCUCUGCAGGGUGGGUCGCGUCUAUGCAGCCCUGUGUCUACUUUCCGGCAUCAUUCGGGGGGCUAGCAUGCUGGCUCCUCCUGGCCUGAAGGGCAACAUCAGUGAGAGGGAGAGAGAGGUUCUCUUCCUCCCCCAGUCCUACGUUCCUUUAACACCUUGUUGGUGGUCGAAUAAUCCGUGCACUCACCCAAUCCGAAUCAAUGGUCCGCGUCUGUUUUCAUCCUGUACCACCUCUUAGAAUGAAGUCCCCUAAACUUUC
Long non-coding RNA from Herpailurus yagouaroundi (jaguarundi), 1506 nucleotides. RefSeq lists it as uncharacterized. The transcript has 2 exons. NCBI's taxonomy places the organism in Eukaryota, Metazoa, Chordata, Mammalia, Carnivora, Felidae. The record is from RefSeq and is a predicted model, not a curated record.